AAAUGACUGUCGUCUUAGGUUUUCCCAGGUUGCAGUGUGGCCCAGGACAUUACAUCACUAGUCAGGUGUUCAGAGGGAUCCUGUCUUUGCUUCAAUGGGUGAAGCCACCUCUGGGUGGCAGGAAGAUCAUUCUGCAGUGAAUUGUUUGUUUUCAACAGCUGGAGGCACCCUGGUUAGAAAACACUGGUCUAUUGCAUUAAAGGGAGCACAGCCUGCAGGAGCUAUUUAUUUCUUGGAAUAAUCUGCUGGUCAUAAGCUGCUCCAGACCCCCUAGAUCAGAGGAAGCGCAUCCACAUAAAUGUGUUUUCCCUGACAGAGAUAGGCAGAAAAAACUAAUCUGAAUGUAUAAUACACAACAUUUCUGAGAGCUCUGUCUAUUUUAGACAAGCCAUUAAGCUAUGAAAUCCGGACACAGGCCGUCUGCUUAGAAGAGUUGUGCAGAGCUUCGAACUGAUGUUUGACUUUUUUUAUUUUCUAUAAUGAAGUCUUAACAUUUCUGCAAUAAAAUAUUUUGGA
Long non-coding RNA from Hyla sarda, 516 nucleotides. RefSeq lists it as uncharacterized. The transcript is spliced from 3 exons. The record is from RefSeq and is a predicted model, not a curated record. NCBI's taxonomy places the organism in Eukaryota, Metazoa, Chordata, Amphibia, Anura, Hylidae.